This 434-nucleotide ribosomal RNA is filed under the name uncultured bacterium. RNAcentral's name for it is "partial 16S ribosomal RNA". It matches the Rfam family "Bacterial small subunit ribosomal RNA", at positions 29 to 507 of the family's 1533-position model. The record is from RNAcentral.
AGCGAACGCUGGCGGCAGGCCUAACACAUGCAAGUCGAACGAACCUUUCGGGGUUAGUGGCGGACGGGUGAGUAACACGUGGGAACGUGCCUUUAGGUUCGGAAUAACUCAGGGAAACUUGUGCUAAUACCGAAUGUGCCCUUCGGGGGAAAGAUUAAUCGCCUUUAGAGCGGCCCGCGUCUGAUUAGCUAGUUGGUUGAGGUAAUGGCUCACCAAGGCGACGAUCAGUAGCUGGUCUGAGAGGAUGAUCAGCCACAUUGGGACUGAGACACGGCCCAAAAUCCUACGGGAGGCAGCAGUAGGGAAUCUUGCGGAAUGGGCGAAAGCCUGACGCCGCCAUGCCGCGUGAAUGAUGAAGGUCUUAGGAUUGUAAAAUUCUUUCACCGGGGACGAUAAUGACGGUACCCGGAGAAGAAGCCCCGGCUAACUUCGUG